UACGUAGGGUGCGAGCGUUGUCCGGAAUUAUUGGGCGUAAAGGGCUCGUAGGCGGUCUGUCACGUCGGGAGUGAAAACUCGGGGCUCAACCCCGAGCCUGCUUCCGAUACGGGCAGACUAGAGGUAUGCAGGGGAGAAUGGAAUUCCUGGUGUAGCGGUGAAAUGCGCAGAUAUCAGGAGGAACACCAAUGGCGAAGGCAGAUCUCUGGGCCGUAACUGACGCUGAGGAGCGAAAGCAUGGGGAGCGAACAGG
RNAcentral lists this ribosomal RNA (253 nucleotides) under uncultured bacterium. RNAcentral describes it as "partial 16S ribosomal RNA". It matches the Rfam family "Bacterial small subunit ribosomal RNA", at positions 524 to 776 of the family's 1533-position model. The record is from RNAcentral.